Molecule: non-coding RNA, 22 nt
Filed under: Arabidopsis thaliana (thale cress)
Lineage: Eukaryota; Viridiplantae; Streptophyta; Magnoliopsida; Brassicales; Brassicaceae
Source: RNAcentral
AUUUGACACGUGCCACAAUCAU